CAGUAGCCGCGGUAAUACGAAGGGUGCAAGCGUUAAUCGGAAUUACUGGGCGUAAAGCGUGCGUAGGCGGUGAGUUAAGUCUGCUGUGAAAUCCCCGGGCUCAACCUGGGAAUGGCAGUGGAUACUGGCUCGCUAGAGUGUGUCAGAGGAUGGUGGAAUUCCCGGUGUAGCGGUGAAAUGCGUAGAGAUCGGGAGGAACAUCAGUGGCGAAGGCGGCCAUCUGGGACAACACUGACGCUGAGGCACGAAAGCGUGGGGAGCAAACAGGAUUAGAUACCCCGUAGUCCCUGUCUCUUAUACA
Molecule: ribosomal RNA, 301 nt
Filed under: uncultured bacterium
Lineage: Bacteria
Description: partial 16S ribosomal RNA
Rfam family: Bacterial small subunit ribosomal RNA
Source: RNAcentral